UAAUUGGCAUCUUCUAGUGAGAUAGGGAG
This 29-nucleotide non-coding RNA is filed under the name Rattus norvegicus (Norway rat). The record is from RNAcentral. Lineage: Eukaryota; Metazoa; Chordata; Mammalia; Rodentia; Muridae.